ACAUUCCUUAAGAUUUUGUUUUUUAAUGAAAAAAUGGAGAUGUGUCAUAUUACAGGCUUGCCCUAUAAUCCACAAGGCCAUGGCCGACGAAAAGCCCAAGGAAGGAGUCAAGACUGAGAACAACGAUCAUAUUAAUUUGAAGGUGGCGGGGCAGGAUGGUUCUGUGGUGAUGAU
Long non-coding RNA from Aethalodelphis obliquidens (Pacific white-sided dolphin), 174 nucleotides. RefSeq lists it as uncharacterized. The transcript is spliced from 3 exons. The record is from RefSeq and is a predicted model, not a curated record. NCBI's taxonomy places the organism in Eukaryota, Metazoa, Chordata, Mammalia, Artiodactyla, Delphinidae.